This 442-nucleotide ribosomal RNA is filed under the name Lentzea californiensis. Its description in RNAcentral is "bacterial SSU rRNA". It matches the Rfam family "Bacterial small subunit ribosomal RNA", at positions 105 to 561 of the family's 1533-position model. The record is from RNAcentral. Lineage: Bacteria; Bacillati; Actinomycetota; Actinomycetes; Pseudonocardiales; Pseudonocardiaceae.
GGUGAGUAACACGUGGGUAACCUGCCCUGUACUCUGGGAUAAGCCUUGGAAACGAGGUCUAAUACCGGAUAUGACACUGAACUGCAUGGUUUGGUGUGGAAAGUUCCGGCGGUACAGGAUGGACCCGCGGCCUAUCAGCUUGUUGGUGGGGUAAUGGCCUACCAAGGCGACGACGGGUAGCCGGCCUGAGAGGGUGACCGGCCACACUGGGACUGAGACACGGCCCAGACUCCUACGGGAGGCAGCAGUGGGGAAUAUUGCACAAUGGGCGAAAGCCUGAUGCAGCGACGCCGCGUGAGGGAUGACGGCCUUCGGGUUGUAAACCUCUUUCAGCAGGGACGAAGCGCAAGUGACGGUACCUGCAGAAGAAGCACCGGCUAACUACGUGCCAGCAGCCGCGGUAAUACGUAGGGUGCGAGCGUUGUCCGGAAUUAUUGGGCGU